RNAcentral lists this ribosomal RNA (440 nucleotides) under uncultured bacterium. RNAcentral's name for it is "partial 16S ribosomal RNA". It matches the Rfam family "Bacterial small subunit ribosomal RNA", at positions 338 to 795 of the family's 1533-position model. The record is from RNAcentral.
CCUACGGUGGGCAGCAGUGGGGAAUAUUGCACAAUGGGGGAAACCCUGAUGCAGCGACGCCGCGUGCGUGAAGAAGUAAUUCGUUAUGUAAAGCUCUAUCAGCAGGGAAGAAAAUGACGGUUCCUGAGUAAGAAGCCCCGGCUAACUACGUGCCAGCAGCCGCGGUAAUACGUAGGGGGCAAGCGUUAUCCGGAUUUACUGGGUGUAAAGGGAGCGUAGACGGCAGUGCAAGUCUGGAGUGAAAGGCGGGGGCUCAACCCACGGACUGCUCUGGAAACUGUACGGCUUGAGUGCAGGAGAGGAAAGUGGAAUUCCUAGUGUAGCGGUGAAAUGCGUAGAUAUUAGGAGGAACACCAGUGGCGAAGGCGGCUUACUGGACUGUAACUGACAUGGAUGCACGAAAGUGUGGGUAGCAAACAGGAUUAGAUACCCGGGUAGUC